This 144-nucleotide ribosomal RNA is filed under the name uncultured eukaryote. RNAcentral's name for it is "partial 18S ribosomal RNA". It matches the Rfam family "Eukaryotic small subunit ribosomal RNA", at positions 1299 to 1458 of the family's 1831-position model. The record is from RNAcentral.
UGGUGGAGCGAUUUGUCUGGUUAAUUCCGAUAACGAACGAGACUCUAGCCUGCUAAAUAGACGGGCGAUCCCUUGUGGGUCGAUCCGAUUUGCUUCUUAGAGGGACAAGUGGCGUUCCUAGCCACGCGGAAUUGAGCAAUAACA